AUUGAACGCUGGCGGCAUGCCUUACACAUGCAAGUCGAACGGCAGCGGGGGAGAAGCUUGCUUUUCCUGCCGGCGAGUGGCGAACGGGUGAGUAAUACAUCGGAACGUGCCCUGUAGUGGGGGAUAACUAGUCGAAAGAUUAGCUAAUACCGCAUACGACCUGAGGGUGAAAGUGGGGGACCGCAAGGCCUCAUGCUAUAGGAGCGGCCGAUGUCUGAUUAGCUAGUUGGUGGGGUAAAGGCCUACCAAGGCGACGAUCAGUAGCUGGUCUGGGAGGACGAUCAGCCAAACGGGGACGGAGACACGGCCCAGACUCCUACGGGAGGCAGCAGUGGGGAAUUUUGGACAAUGGGCGAAAGCCUGAUCCAGCAAUGCCGCGUGUGUGAAGAAGGCCUUCGGGUUGUAAAGCACUUUUGUCCGGAAAGAAAUGGCUCUGGUUAAUACCUGGGGUCGAUGACGGUACCGGAAGAAUAAGGACCGGCUAACUACGUGCCAGCCGCCGCGGUAA
RNAcentral lists this ribosomal RNA (508 nucleotides) under uncultured bacterium. RNAcentral describes it as "partial 16S ribosomal RNA". It matches the Rfam family "Bacterial small subunit ribosomal RNA", at positions 29 to 523 of the family's 1533-position model. The record is from RNAcentral.